Molecule: ribosomal RNA, 484 nt
Filed under: uncultured bacterium
Lineage: Bacteria
Description: partial 16S ribosomal RNA
Rfam family: Bacterial small subunit ribosomal RNA
Source: RNAcentral
AUUGAACGCUGGCGGCAGGCCUAACACAUGCAAGUCGAGCGGAUGAAGGGAGCUUGCUCCUGGAUUCAGCGGCGGACGGGUGAGUAAUGCCUAGGAAUCUGCCUGGUAGUGGGGGAUAACGUCCGGAAACGGGCGCUAAUACCGCAUACGUCCUGAUGGAGAAAGUGGGUGAUCUUCGGACCUCACGCUAUCAGAUGAGCCUAGGUCGGAUUAGCUAGUUGGUGGGGUAAAGGCCUACCAAGGCGACGAUCCGUAACUGGUCUGAGAGGAUGAUCAGUCACACUGGAACUGAGACACGGUCCAGACUCCUACGGGAGGCAGCAGUGGGGAAUAUUGGACAAUGGGCGAAAGCCUGAUCCAGCAAUGCCGCGUGUGUGAAGAAGGUCUUCGGAUUGUAAAGCACUUUAAGUUGGGAGGAAGGGAAGUAAGUUAAUACCUUGCUGUUUUGACGUUACCAACAGAAUAAGCACCGGCUAACUUCGUG